GUGAGGGGCUGGGCGACCGGAGGAAGGGCAGAUGGGGAACGCGUGCCCCAAGAGCGAAGACAAACAGCUGUGGAGACUCUUCCCCGAGGCUCAGCCUUCCCACAGCGAGACGGGGACCCACCCGGCAUCUCGCAGGAAAGCGGGGAGGGUGGGGGAAGGCUGAGCGGAGAGGGAGAAAGCCUCACCAGAGGACAGAGGGAGGGAGGAAGGCAU
This is a non-coding RNA of Myotis lucifugus (little brown bat), 213 nucleotides long. The record is from Rfam. Lineage: Eukaryota; Metazoa; Chordata; Mammalia; Chiroptera; Vespertilionidae.